UACGGAGGGUGCAAGGGCUGUUCGGACUCAUUGGGCGUAAAGGGCGUGUAGGCGGGCGGGUAAGUCAGAUGUGAAAUCCCUUGGCUUAACCAAGGAAGUGCAUUUGAAACUGCCCGGCUUGAGUACGGGAGGGGGAAUCGGAAUUCCCGGUGUAGAGGUGAAAUUCGUAGAUAUCGGGAGGAACACCGGUGGCGAUGGCGGCUUCCUGGACCGAUACUGACGCUGAGACGCGAAAGCGUGGGGAGCAAACAGG
RNAcentral lists this ribosomal RNA (253 nucleotides) under uncultured bacterium. Its description in RNAcentral is "partial 16S ribosomal RNA". It matches the Rfam family "Bacterial small subunit ribosomal RNA", at positions 524 to 776 of the family's 1533-position model. The record is from RNAcentral.